RNAcentral lists this ribosomal RNA (468 nucleotides) under uncultured bacterium. RNAcentral's name for it is "partial 16S ribosomal RNA". It matches the Rfam family "Bacterial small subunit ribosomal RNA", at positions 28 to 507 of the family's 1533-position model. The record is from RNAcentral.
GACGAACGCUGGCGGCGUGCUUAACACAUGCAAGUCGAACGGAAAGGCCCUGCUUUUGUGGGGUGCUCGAGUGGCGAACGGGUGAGUAACACGUGAGUAACCUGCCCUUGACUUUGGGAUAACUUCAGGAAACUGGGGCUAAUACCGGAUAGGAGCUCCUGCUGCAUGGUGGGGGUUGGAAAGUUUCGGCGGUUGGGGAUGGACUCGCGGCUUAUCAGCUUGUUGGUGGGGUAGUGGCUUACCAAGGCUUUGACGGGUAGCCGGCCUGAGAGGGUGACCGGCCACAUUGGGACUGAGAUACGGCCCAGACUCCUACGGGAGGCAGCAGUGGGGAAUCUUGCACAAUGGGCGGAAGCCUGAUGCAGCAACGCCGCGUGCGGGAUGCCGGCCUUCGGGUUGUAAACCGCUUUCGCCUGUGACGAAGCGUGAGUGACGGUACUGGGUAAAGAAGCACCGGCUAACUACGUG